UGGGGAAUAUUGCACAAUGGCCGCAAGCCUGACGCAGCCAUGCCGCGGGUAUGAAAAAGGCCUUAGGGCUGUAAAGUAUUUUCAGCGGGGAGGAAGGCGAGAAGGCUAAUAACCUUGUCGAUUCACGUUACCUGCAGAAGAAGCACCGGCUAACUCCGUGCCAGCAGCCGCGGUAAUACGGAGGGUGCAAGCGUUAAUCGGAAUUACUGGGCGUAAAGCGCACGCAGGCGGUUUGUUAAGUCAGAUGUGAAAUCCCCGGGCUCAACCUGGGAACUGGAUCUGAUUCUGGUAAGCUGGAGUGGCGUAGAGGGGGGUCGAAAUCCUGGUGUUACGGGGCAAUGCGUCGAUCUCUGGGGAAAAACCCGUGGGGGAGGCGGCCCCCUGGGCGAAUACUGACGCUCAGGUGCGAAAGCGUGGGGAGCAAACAGG
This 429-nucleotide ribosomal RNA is filed under the name Chloroflexota bacterium. RNAcentral's name for it is "Chloroflexi bacterium partial 16S ribosomal RNA". It matches the Rfam family "Bacterial small subunit ribosomal RNA", at positions 355 to 776 of the family's 1533-position model. The record is from RNAcentral. Lineage: Bacteria; Bacillati; Chloroflexota.